RNAcentral lists this ribosomal RNA (1221 nucleotides) under Lactiplantibacillus plantarum. RNAcentral describes it as "bacterial SSU rRNA". It matches the Rfam family "Bacterial small subunit ribosomal RNA", at positions 328 to 1533 of the family's 1533-position model. Lineage: Bacteria; Bacillati; Bacillota; Bacilli; Lactobacillales; Lactobacillaceae. The record is from RNAcentral.
GGCCCAAACUCCUACGGGAGGCAGCAGUAGGGAAUCUUCCACAAUGGACGAAAGUCUGAUGGAGCAACGCCGCGUGAGUGAAGAAGGGUUUCGGCUCGUAAAACUCUGUUGUUAAAGAAGAACAUAUCUGAGAGUAACUGUUCAGGUAUUGACGGUAUUUAACCAGAAAGCCACGGCUAACUACGUGCCAGCAGCCGCGGUAAUACGUAGGUGGCAAGCGUUGUCCGGAUUUAUUGGGCGUAAAGCGAGCGCAGGCGGUUUUUUAAGUCUGAUGUGAAAGCCUUCGGCUCAACCGAAGAAGUGCAUCGGAAACUGGGAAACUUGAGUGCAGAAGAGGACAGUGGAACUCCAUGUGUAGCGGUGAAAUGCGUAGAUAUAUGGAAGAACACCAGUGGCGAAGGCGGCUGUCUGGUCUGUAACUGACGCUGAGGCUCGAAAGUAUGGGUAGCAAACAGGAUUAGAUACCCUGGUAGUCCAUACCGUAAACGAUGAAUGCUAAGUGUUGGAGGGUUUCCGCCCUUCAGUGCUGCAGCUAACGCAUUAAGCAUUCCGCCUGGGGAGUACGGCCGCAAGGCUGAAACUCAAAGGAAUUGACGGGGGCCCGCACAAGCGGUGGAGCAUGUGGUUUAAUUCGAAGCUACGCGAAGAACCUUACCAGGUCUUGACAUACUAUGCAAAUCUAAGAGAUUAGACGUUCCCUUCGGGGACAUGGAUACAGGUGGUGCAUGGUUGUCGUCAGCUCGUGUCGUGAGAUGUUGGGUUAAGUCCCGCAACGAGCGCAACCCUUAUUAUCAGUUGCCAGCAUUAAGUUGGGCACUCUGGUGAGACUGCCGGUGACAAACCGGAGGAAGGUGGGGAUGACGUCAAAUCAUCAUGCCCCUUAUGACCUGGGCUACACACGUGCUACAAUGGAUGGUACAACGAGUUGCGAACUCGCGAGAGUAAGCUAAUCUCUUAAAGCCAUUCUCAGUUCGGAUUGUAGGCUGCAACUCGCCUACAUGAAGUCGGAAUCGCUAGUAAUCGCGGAUCAGCAUGCCGCGGUGAAUACGUUCCCGGGCCUUGUACACACCGCCCGUCACACCAUGAGAGUUUGUAACACCCAAAGUCGGUGGGGUAACCUUUUAGGAACCAGCCGCCUAAGGUGGGACAGAUGAUUAGGGUGAAGUCGUAACAAGGUAGCCGUAGGAGAACCUGCGGCUGGAUCACCUCCUUUCUAAGGAA